Molecule: long non-coding RNA, 2100 nt
Organism: Lathyrus oleraceus (garden pea)
Lineage: Eukaryota; Viridiplantae; Streptophyta; Magnoliopsida; Fabales; Fabaceae
Exons: 2
Source: RefSeq, a predicted model, not a curated record
UCCAUCACUGAAAAGGGGAAGAAAAUUGGUAGUGUUACUCUACUGAAAUUUACUCAAAGCCUUACCAAAAGCUCAUAAUAUUCAAACUAUUCAGAGUUUCUCACUGAAAUUCUGAAAUAGUUGAGUUGAACCUUAACACGGAUAGUAGUCGACGCGUUAAAACAACCGCAUAGUAGAGAAAGGAGAUAUCAGAAGAAAAAAAAGCUGAAGAAAAACGAAGAGGAGACAACGAUAAGAACCGAAAAGAACACUUACUUGAGUAAACGCUGACUACUCGACACAAGUACGAGACGUGCCACAACUACAGUAUGACACUCGAAUAAAUUGAAGCAAAUCAGGUUACAAUGAGAACAGACAUCGGCUCUAUGCAGGAGAAGAUGGAUUGUUUGCUUGAGACUAUGUUACUCUUAGCCCAAAAGGAAAAAGAUGCUUAAACAAAUGUCGAAGCCAGAAGAGUUGUUGCUCAGUUUGGUUCAUCGUCGCUUAGUAUCCUUGGAGUAACUAACCUCAAUGGUAGUCUUUCUCAUCCUAAAGGAUGCCAUAUCCCUAUUCCUAUUCCAGUGGUCAAUGUAGACCCCCCUGAACAUUCUGCCACAUCUGCUCGAGAUGGAUCUAUGAUUGAUGAUGAAGAUCAAUAUGAUGCUUUUUUCAUGCCUCAACCCACAAAACCUAUUGUUGGAAGUCUCCUAGACCCAGCUGUUGAGAGACUCCAUGCUUUGGAGGAGAAAUUCAAGUCCUUAGAGGUUCACACUACUCUCGGCUUGGAUGUUGUUGAAAUGUUCCUGGUGCCAGGUCUGGUGAUUUCACAAAAAUUCAAAGUUCCAGAUUUUGACAAGUACAAAGGGAUUAGUUUCCCUAGAAAUCACCUUAGAGUUUACUGUCGCAAGAUGGUGGCCCACAUUAGUAAUGAUCAAAUCUUGAUUCAUUAUUUCCAAGAUUGCCUCAGUGGGGCAUCCUUGGAAUGGUACAUGCAGCUAGAGAGAGGACAAGUCCAAUCAUGGAGACAUCUCGCUGAAUCUUUUCUUAGGCAUUAUUAAUACAACACUGGCCUGGCGCUCAAUCGCACCCAGCUGCAAAACAUGACUCAACGUAACAACGAGUCAUUCAAGGAAUAUGCCCAACGGUGGAGAGAACUUGUAGCUCGUGUCCAACCUCCUCUCCUUGACAAAGAACUAUUCAAUAUGUUUAUGGGAACUCUUCAUGCCCAAUAUAUGGAGAGAAUGAUAGGGUCCAGUUUCCCAACUUUCUCCGAGGUUGUUUGUGUUGGGGAACAGAUUGAGAGCCAAGUGAAGAAAGGAAAGUUGCCAUGCGCUGCAAUGCUUCAAGUGGAGUGAAGAAAUCAUAUCCUAACCACCCGAAGAAGCUAUAAGGUCAUGCCAAUGCCAUAAUAGGAGGAGGGGGAAAUAUAACACAUCCAUAUGUUCUCGUGCCUUACCAUCAGGCUGCCGCCGUCAUGCCCGCACCAUAUCAACCACCAUAUCAACAAAAAACACUAAAAUCAACAGCAACGUGUUCCAUAACAAUGCCAACCUAACCAGCAGAGAGUAAGGAGGCUAGAAAGACAUUUUGAUCCUUUGCCAGUAUCAUAUAGCCAGAUCCUUCCUUACCUUCUAAAAGGUGGAUCGAUUACAUUGAAAGAGUUGACGCCUGCAAUUCGUCCCUAUCCACCAGGCUAUGAUGCUAAUGCUCAUUGUGAGUAUCAUAUGGGUGCCCCAGGGUACACAGUGGAGAAUUGUAAGGCUUUGAAACACAAAGUUCAAGACCUGAUUGAUAGUAAGGAAAUUUCUUUCACGCCAGUUAGCCCAAAUGUUGCGACAAAUCCCAUGCCGGCGCAUGCGGAGUAGUAAGUGAAUUUCGUUAAAGGGAUUGCCGAAGAUAAACUCCAUACUGGCCUGGACAAGCAGAGCAAUCCCUAACGAAGCUAGUCCGACAGUAAAUCAAGAAAGGAAAGCUCAAUUCCUCAAUGAAGGCAAUCAUUAUGCCAUUUUACCAUUUCAUAUUCUUGUAAUUUGUUCUUGUUUGUCUAAGUACUAUUUGCUUUAAGCAUUGUUAUUUGUAUUUGGUCUUAUUAAUGAAAUGAUUAUGCAUAUUUUAAAUCAA